GACGAACGCUGGCGGCGUGCUUAACACAUGCAAGUCGAACGGAAAGGCCCUGCUUUUGUGGGGUGCUCGAGUGGCGAACGGGUGAGUAACACGUGAGUAACCUGCCCUUGACUUUGGGAUAACUUCAGGAAACUGGGGCUAAUACCGGAUAGGAGCUCCUGCUGCAUGGGGGGGGUUGGAAAGUUUCGGCGGUUGGGGAUGGACUCGCGGCUUAUCAGCUUGUUGGUGGGGUAGUGGCUUACCAAGGCUUUGACGGGUAGCCGGCCUGAGAGGGUGACCGGCCACAUUGGGACUGCGAUACGGCCCAGACUCCUACGGGAGGCAGCAGUGGGGAAUAUUGCACAAUGGGCGGACGCCUGAUGCAGCAACGCCGCGUGCGGGAUGACGGCCUUCGGGUUGUAAACCGCUUUCGCCUGUGACGAAGCGUGAGUGACGGUAAUGGGUAAAGAAGCACCGGCUAACUACGUG
RNAcentral lists this ribosomal RNA (468 nucleotides) under uncultured bacterium. RNAcentral's name for it is "partial 16S ribosomal RNA". It matches the Rfam family "Bacterial small subunit ribosomal RNA", at positions 28 to 507 of the family's 1533-position model. The record is from RNAcentral.